GGAUCAAGGGAUCGGUCAUGCCUUGGUAUGUACUGGUUUUAUUGGUUCUCACCUUCUAAAGAACCUUAAUGCCAUUUAUUUGGUGUUUUGGGGAAUUUGGACUGUUACUUUGAAAAAAUUAGAGUGUUUAAAGCAAGCUAACGCUUGAAUACAUUAGCAUGGAAUAAUGAAAUAGGACGUUCGAUCCUAUUUUGUUGGUUUCUAGGAUUGACGUA
Molecule: ribosomal RNA, 215 nt
Filed under: Campeiostachys nutans
Lineage: Eukaryota; Viridiplantae; Streptophyta; Magnoliopsida; Poales; Poaceae
Description: Elymus nutans partial small subunit ribosomal RNA
Rfam family: Eukaryotic small subunit ribosomal RNA (bases 46-215)
Source: RNAcentral